RNAcentral lists this ribosomal RNA (466 nucleotides) under Salmonella enterica. RNAcentral's name for it is "partial 23S ribosomal RNA". It matches the Rfam family "Bacterial large subunit ribosomal RNA", at positions 145 to 584 of the family's 2925-position model. Lineage: Bacteria; Pseudomonadati; Pseudomonadota; Gammaproteobacteria; Enterobacterales; Enterobacteriaceae. The record is from RNAcentral.
ACACUAUCAUUAACUGAAUCCAUAGGUUAAUGAGGCGAACCGGGGGAACUGAAACAUCUAAGUACCCCGAGGAAAAGAAAUCAACCGAGAUUCCCCCAGUAGCGGCGAGCGAACGGGGAGGAGCCCAGAGCCUGAAUCAGCAUGUGUGUUAGUGGAAGCGUCUGGAAAGGCGCGCGAUACAGGGUGACAGCCCCGUACACAAAAGCGCAUGUGCUGUGAGCUCGAUGAGUAGGGCGGGACACGUGGUAUCCUGUCUGAAUAUGGGGGGACCAUCCUCCAAGGCUAAAUACUCCUGACUGACCGAUAGUGAACCAGUACCGUGAGGGAAAGGCGAAAAGAACCCCGGCGAGGGGAGUGAAAAAGAACCUGAAACCGUGUACGUACAAGCAGUGGGAGCCCCACCACCAAAGCAUUUGCUGUACCGCGUUGACGGAGCGAAGCGACGUCAAACCGAUAAAACAGCAGU